This 253-nucleotide ribosomal RNA is filed under the name uncultured bacterium. Its description in RNAcentral is "partial 16S ribosomal RNA". It matches the Rfam family "Bacterial small subunit ribosomal RNA", at positions 524 to 776 of the family's 1533-position model. The record is from RNAcentral.
UACGAAGGGGGCUAGCGUUGCUCGGAAUCACUGGGCGUAAAGGGCGCGUAGGCGGCCUUGUAAGUUGGGGGUGAAAGCCCGUGGCUCAACCACGGAAUUGCCUUCGAUACUGCUUGGCUUGAGACCGGAAGAGGUGAGUGGAACUGCGAGUGUUGAGGUGAAAUUCGUAGAUAUUCGCAAGAACACCAGUGGCGAAGGCGGCUCACUGGUCCGGAUCUGACGCUGAGGCGCGAAAGCGUGGGGAGCAAACAGG